AUACGUAGGGGGCGAGCGUUGUCCGGAAUGAUUGGGCGUAAAGGGCGCGUAGGCGGCCCGGUAAGUCUGGAGUGAAAGUCCUGUUUUUAAGAUGGGAAUUGCGUUGGAUACUGUCGGGCUUGAGGGCAGGAGAGGAAAGUGGAAUUCCCAGCGUAGCGGUGAAAUGCGUAGAGAUUGGGAGGAACACCAGUGGCGAAGGCGACUUACUGGACUGUAACUGACGCUGAGGCGCGAAAGUGUGGGGAGCAAACAGGAUUAGAUACCCUGGUAGUCCACACUGUAAACGAUGAAUGCUAGGUGUAGGGGGUAUCGACCCCUUCUGUGCCGCAGUCAACACAAUAAGCAUUCCGCCUGGGGAGUACGGCCGCAAGGUUGAAACUCAAAGGAAUUGGCGGGG
RNAcentral lists this ribosomal RNA (397 nucleotides) under uncultured bacterium. Its description in RNAcentral is "partial 16S ribosomal RNA". It matches the Rfam family "Bacterial small subunit ribosomal RNA", at positions 523 to 918 of the family's 1533-position model. The record is from RNAcentral.